GCACCUAGAAAGGAGGGAGGGUGAACAGGUGUGGUAAAAUCAAGAAAUAUUACCCUGCAAUGGCAGGACCAAUACUAGUUGCGUCUUCUUUUAUGAUGCAGAAAAUAUUGAUGAUUUGACAAACAGGUACAAGCAAGGAUGCAAACAGCAUUUCUACUUUGAGCAUAAAUUUCUUAAAAACAAGAAUCAAUAUGUAUAGGUUGCAUCUUUGUAUUUCAAGGGAAUUCCAGCAAGGAUAGUUGCUUUUACUUACAUUGGGAGUUGACAGCACAUCAU
This 276-nucleotide unclassified non-coding RNA is filed under the name Hevea brasiliensis (rubber tree). Lineage: Eukaryota; Viridiplantae; Streptophyta; Magnoliopsida; Malpighiales; Euphorbiaceae. The record is from RNAcentral.